CUCGUGACUCCAGGCAUUUUCAUUUACAGCCCCCAUUACUUACAUUCUCUCCUUCCUCAUUCUCUCUCAAUCAUUUUGAUAAAUAUUUCUAUGAAGUAUGAAUUGUGAUCUGAUACUAUUCGGUCUACUUAUAACAUUUUUUUUAAUUUGAUUCUCUUGAACUUCUUCAUCUUUCCCCCCACCACAUUAAAGAUUCUGUCAGUUUUUUUCUAGCUCUGCAUAGGAAUCUUCUGCAAGUUUGAUUGUUUUGUUGAAAACAAACAGAAAGAAAAGGCGGCUAGGUACCACAGUUGAUAAAGCAGUUGGCCUGGACUGUGGAAGAGCUGAAUUCAUAUCUGGGCUUAGAUACUCACUCACUAUGUGAUCCUGGGGAACUGUCUCUAUCUUUUAAGAUAAUUACUCCCAGAGGCAACUAGGUGACUCAAU
RNAcentral lists this long non-coding RNA (426 nucleotides) under Monodelphis domestica (gray short-tailed opossum). RNAcentral's name for it is "lncRNA (ENSMODG00000042777.1)". Lineage: Eukaryota; Metazoa; Chordata; Mammalia; Didelphimorphia; Didelphidae. The record is from RNAcentral.